UUCUACAAGGGAAAACAACUUUCAUUACCACUCGUUACCACUCAUUAGUCAUUACCACUUACAAGGUGGGUUCGAUAAGAAUGAAAAUUUAAGAAGAAAAUAAACACUACAGAAUAAAUUAGUAUUACUAUGGAAAUGAACAAUAAUUUUUGUCCUAAAUUUACAUAUAAAUUCAUUCUGGAUGGUAGUGUAAUUCACAACUUAUAGUCACAAAUGAUAAAUAAUAGUUUAUGUGGUUAAUAUAAAUGCUGCAGAUUGGGUGUUGUAACCUGUAACCUGCUGCAGUCUAUUAAUGUCUUUUUUGUUUGAAAUCAGAUACAAAUUUUGAGUGUCUAUAUCAGAUUUUAAUAGCCUAUAUCAGAUUUUAAGGUUUGCAGCUAGUGGUGUAUCCAGGAAUUUAGUGAUGGGGAAUCCUAUAGUCAAUGUGUAUUUCCUAAUAAGUUAGUUAUAUGAGCAUAAUACACAUUUUAAAUGACAAUGUCAUUCUUUCUUCCGAUUUUGUGACUAAGAAACUUAGAAAUUUUAACAACAGCUUGUUAAGUGCUAUGAUAAUUUUAAAAUUUAUAAACUCAGAAUUUAGUGAUGGGGACUUUGAAGCCUUUGUUGAAAUAGAUGCUUUCAUUGAGGAUAUAAACAACAGCUUGUUAAGUGCUAAGAUAAUUUUAAAAUUUAUAAUAUAGUAAAUGAAGCCUUCUGCAAUUGAAAUAACAAGUCUUAGUCACCUAAUUACACAAUCUGCAUCUAUUGAGUUUCGUUUAGGUUCUGAAUAAGAUAUUAGUAUGUUGUAUAAUAGUUUGGCGCUCCUUUUUUAGGAGGGUUUCUUAAGUGGUAACUUUUCUAUGGGCUAAAGUUUAAUGUUGGCCAAUAAAUUUGUGUGAUUGCCACUUCAAAUAUAAGAAGGCAGUUGGAAAACAUAUUGUAUGUCCAGGAAAUAAUCCUUUAAAGCAUUGCAAUGCAUGCUCAAUACGAGCUAUCGAUUUCAUAAGAGGGACAAGAUAGCAUAAUUCCCAAGCCUCAGACCAGAAUGUUACCGACCUUAGAUAUGUAUAGAAUAAGUUUGAACCUUGAAUUUCUGUAAGCAUCGUCUCUGUCAACGAAAUUCUGCAGCAGAGGUGCAUCUUCCAGAUUACUCGUCAUAUAGUUUAUGUCAAUGCUGGGAUUCAUAUUCUUAGUGCACAGGUUUGGAAAACAACUUUGAAUUGUUUAGGUUAACCACUUUUAUGGGGAGGUGUUGUCGAAAUUUCUGCAAAAUAUGCACUUUUACGAGGAUAUGCUACCCAAACUUUUGCAAAAAUACUCAUGCAUGCAAAUUUGUCAUAUGAUUCAUAAAUGUUCUAUGCUAAUCGUUACUUUUAUGCUUGUUGGAUGUAGGCUGUUAAUAAAGCUUCAUCUUCUGGAAAUGACAACUCUCAUUAAUUAUUUAAUUCGCUAGUUGGAUUUUUGUCGAAAGAUUAAUUUUGGAUGCACCAAAACGAAAAAGUGAAUGUUGAAGAUUUGAGGACAUUGGAACUUCUGUUUGGGCACAAGAAUGAAGAUAUAUUAAAUUUUGUUAUUAUUUAGUUGGAUUAUAAAUUUUAACAUUUGUUGUUCUACAUACAUUAGGUUGUACCUUGAGUUUGUCAAAAUGAUUUAGACUUUUUUGUUAUUUUUAGUUUGAAGAUUUUAUAUAGAGUACUAUUAAACGAUUAAAUUUUUCAUUAAUCAAUAUAUUAUAUUUUGGUUCA
Molecule: long non-coding RNA, 1724 nt
Organism: Beta vulgaris subsp. vulgaris (sugar beet)
Lineage: Eukaryota; Viridiplantae; Streptophyta; Magnoliopsida; Caryophyllales; Amaranthaceae
Exons: 2
Source: RefSeq, a predicted model, not a curated record